RNAcentral lists this ribosomal RNA (253 nucleotides) under uncultured bacterium. RNAcentral describes it as "partial 16S ribosomal RNA". It matches the Rfam family "Bacterial small subunit ribosomal RNA", at positions 524 to 776 of the family's 1533-position model. The record is from RNAcentral.
UACGAAGGGGGCUAGCGUUGUUCGGAAUUACUGGGCGUAAAGCGCGCGCAGGCGGUUCUUCAAGUCAGAGGUGAAAGCCCAGGGCUCAACCCUGGAAUGGCCUUUGAGACUAGAGGACUUGGGUACGGGAGAGGUGAGUGGAAUUCCGAGUGUAGAGGUGAAAUUCGUAGAUAUUCGGAAGAACACCAGUGGCGAAGGCGACACACUGGCCCAUUACUGACGCUGAGGCUCGAAAGCGUGGGGAGCAAACAGG